Molecule: ribosomal RNA, 538 nt
Filed under: Chaetomium sp. 6 JAS-2013
Lineage: Eukaryota; Fungi; Ascomycota; Sordariomycetes; Sordariales; Chaetomiaceae
Description: eukaryotic LSU rRNA
Rfam family: Eukaryotic large subunit ribosomal RNA
Source: RNAcentral
UAAGCGGAGGAAAAGAAACCAACAGGGAUUGCCCCAGUAACGGCGAGUGAAGCGGCAACAGCUCAAAUUUGAAAUCUGGCUUCGGCCCGAGUUGUAAUUUGCAGAGGAAGCUUUAGGCGCGGCACCAUCUGAGUCCCCUGGAACGGGGCGCCACAGAGGGUGAGAGCCCCGUAUAGAUGGACGCCUAGCCUGUGUAAAGCUCCUUCGACGAGUCGAGUAGUUUGGGAAUGCUGCUCUAAAUGGGAGGUAAAUUUCUUCUAAAGCUAAAUACCGGCCAGAGACCGAUAGCGCACAAGUAGAGUGAUCGAAAGAUGAAAAGCACUUUGAAAAGAGGGUUAAAUAGCACGUGAAAUUGUUGAAAGGGAAGCGCUUGUGACCAGACUUGCGCCGGGCGGAUCAUCCGGUGUUCUCACCGGUGCACUCCGCCCGGCUCAGGCCAGCAUCGGUUCUCGUGGGGGGACAAAGGUCCCGGGAACGUAGCUCCUCCGGGAGUGUUAUAGCCCGGGGCGUAAUGCCCUCGCGGGGACCGAGGACCGCG